UACGAAGGGUCCAAGCGUUAUCCGGAUUUAUUGGGUUUAAAGGGUGCGUAGGCGGCUUAUUAAGUCAGUGGUGAAAGCCUGCAGCUUAACUGCAGAACUGCCAUUGAUACUGAUGGGCUUGAGUAUAGUUGAGGUGGGCGGAAUGUGUCAUGUAGCGGUGAAAUGCUUAGAUAUGACACAGAACACCGAUUGCGAAGGCAGCUCGCUAAACUAUAACUGACGCUGAGGCACGAAAGCGUGGGGAGCGAACAGG
This 253-nucleotide ribosomal RNA is filed under the name uncultured bacterium. Its description in RNAcentral is "partial 16S ribosomal RNA". It matches the Rfam family "Bacterial small subunit ribosomal RNA", at positions 524 to 776 of the family's 1533-position model. The record is from RNAcentral.